This 402-nucleotide ribosomal RNA is filed under the name uncultured Novosphingobium sp. RNAcentral's name for it is "bacterial SSU rRNA". It matches the Rfam family "Bacterial small subunit ribosomal RNA", at positions 353 to 772 of the family's 1533-position model. The record is from RNAcentral. Lineage: Bacteria; Pseudomonadati; Pseudomonadota; Alphaproteobacteria; Sphingomonadales; Sphingomonadaceae.
AGUGGGGAAUAUUGGACAAUGGGCGAAAGCCUGAUCCAGCAAUGCCGCGUGAGUGAUGAAGGCCUUAGGGUUGUAAAGCUCUUUUACCAGGGAUGAUAAUGACAGUACCUGGAGAAUAAGCUCCGGCUAACUCCGUGCCAGCAGCCGCGGUAAUACGGAGGGAGCUAGCGUUGUUCGGAAUUACUGGGCGUAAAGCGCACGUAGGCGGCUACUCAAGUCAGGGGUGAAAGCCCGGGGCUCAACCCCGGAACUGCCUUUGAAACUAGGUAGCUAGAAUCUUGGAGAGGUCAGUGGAAUUCCGAGUGUAGAGGUGAAAUUCGUAGAUAUUCGGAAGAACACCAGUGGCGAAGGCGACUGACUGGACAAGUAUUGACGCUGAGGUGCGAAAGCGUGGGGAGCAAA